RNAcentral lists this long non-coding RNA (219 nucleotides) under Helianthus annuus (common sunflower). RNAcentral's name for it is "hypothetical non coding rna". Lineage: Eukaryota; Viridiplantae; Streptophyta; Magnoliopsida; Asterales; Asteraceae. The record is from RNAcentral.
GGUAUACGUCUUUGUCUUUUUAUAAUAUCAGCUAAAGAACCGCCAUCCAUGUAUUCUAGAGCAAUACUUAUUUGCCCUGAAUCAGGCGUGUAAAACGCUCCAUAAAAUUCAACAAGACCUUGAUAACAAGGGGCCUCGCACAAUGUUCUUAUCUCGACCUUCUCAAAGAUGUUGAUCUUCUUUAACGCGAUUAUCCUAUGAGUAGGAAUAUGAAUCGCC